UGUUCCAUCUUCGAUUGCUGCAGGUAGGGCUAGGAAAUCCAAGGUAAUUAUGGUUUUGCUGCUUGUUAAUGCAAUUCAUAUUUCUUGGAAUUGUUAGCACAAUGUGUAAUAUGGAUAUAAGAACCCAGAAUGCUUGUUUCAAAAUGAUAACACAUUAUUCCAAUAUGUCACUAUUUCUAAGCAUCUUCUCUCAAUUGUAUGACUGCUUGAUAUACUGACAAAAGGAAGAACUAUUAUUGGCGUACUAUAUCCAAGUUUUCCACUUAUAAUUUACAGUUUUAAAUGAGAAUAUGAAAUUGAAAUCACUAGGAGUAGAGCGAGGAUUUGUGAAUUCUGCAUCAAGAAAAGGUUCUUAAUCAUAGCAUUCUGUAUUUUAAUCAAAAGAUGUGAAAUACAACUUUUUUGGAGCUGAAGCUUCCAUUAGAUUUGCAUCAUGCUAUUCAACAAAUUUUUCUUGUUUUUGGCUUAUAAUUUGGAUGGCUAAUUAAGACCCUUUGGUUGAUCUAUGUAUGAUUGAUGUGCAGAAUUCAUUUUAGAGCAAAAAUUAAUUUCUGCGCCCAUCUGCUAUAUUCACUACUCUCUUUUGCAUGGUCCAGCUGCAACGCACAGAGUUUGCAUUUGUUGAUGUGCAUUCAUGGUGUACUUCUCCCAUCAAAUCUAAUGUUUUAUGAUUUCAUCUUUCGUUGUUAACUUUUUUAUUGAACAGUUCAUAAUUGGCAAUGGGAAUAACAUUUAUGAUUUCAUAUAUGUCAAAAAUGUGGCACAUGCACACAUGUGUGCUGAACGAGCUCUAGCUUUAGUAGGGGAGGUUGCAGAGAGUUGCAGGGCAGGUACAAUCAUCUUCUUCUUUUGUGUUUGUGUUUUACUAAUAAUGAUUAUUUUUUGCUAGAGUUUUGAAAUUAAAGUUUUUUAGUAGGUAAUUCUUUCUCUAGUAAGUUCUUAUAUAUAAUUUAUGCUUUAUAAGCCUUAUUCAAGUAAUUUAAACUAAAUAUCGAAUCAAAAUCUCUACAAUUUGAAUACACCCAUCCUCUCCAAGUGCAAAUUGUGUACUUGUUGAGCACAAGCAUAGGCAUGCACAUGCUAUGAAUUUGGUUCAUCCAUAACUCCACUGAAUGAUAGCUUAAGGAGGUAAAGAUCACAUAUCCUUUUUUAGUUGUGUGGAGAUGCAUCAGUUGAUAUGUUUACAUGGCACAAAAGUUAGCUUGAAUUGUGGAUGGUGUUGUCCCAGAGAAAGUGACCAAGAGGGAGUGAAUUGGACACUUUACCAAUUUUUUGGUUCUUGCUCAAUACACUAUGAAAAAUUGAAGCUUUGCGCUCUAAAGUGUGUGAAAUGAGGACUUAAAGGAAGCAUACAAAUAUUCAAGUAAACUUCCAAGCAUAGAGAUCAACACAUUUAUAGCAUAAACAAAUAAGUUAAUGAGUUGAAAAUAAAAAGCAUAGAGUGAAGAAGAUCAAACACUAUGAUUGAUAGUGGUUCGACUUUCACUAGCCUUCAUCCACUCCUCAAAAAGUCUUUUUGAGAGUUGCUCUCCACUGUAUGUCUCUUUUCAAGGGAGAAAAUAAAGGCCUACUACACUGAACAAGCUUCAUCAAGUUGCUUGUAACUUUUACAAGUGUAUCACUGCACUCAAACUCAAUUCAAGCUUCAAGAGUUCUUGAAAACCUUGCGUAGGUUUUGGAAAAAUCACUGUCAAUCAUUCAAGAAUACAAGGAUAUAUUACUAUUAAGAUGAGAGAGAAGAUUUUCCAAUAUAGGAGCAAGAGAAUUUUUGAAUCUCAUGAGUGAAAGCACUUGAAUGCAUGCAAGAACACUUCAACAAUCAAAUGGCUUUCAUUAGGCCAAAAGGGACUAAAUGAACCCUUAUGUAGGCACUUUUGAAAAAUGGCUAUUGGAAUUCAAAAAGAGGACCAAUGAUUAGAUAUUUUGAAAAAACUAAACUUUGAAAUCUUGGAAAAUGCGCUGGCAAUUUUAGAUUGGAGGUGAAAAAAGUAACUAACAAAAGUUGUUGUUUGGAUAAAAGUAGUUGACUAAAAAUGAAAGGCCUAUUGACAAAAAAAAAAGCGAAAUCUUAUUUUGUUUUGGUAAUUUUAUUAAAUCUUUUUAAUUUUGACAGAAUCAACCAAAAUUUUAAAAUGCACCUAAAUUUAAUCCAAAUUUUUCAAAAAUUUGAAAGCUUGUUAUAAUUUUGUAAUUUUAUCCUUUU
RNAcentral lists this unclassified non-coding RNA (2203 nucleotides) under Hevea brasiliensis (rubber tree). The record is from RNAcentral. Lineage: Eukaryota; Viridiplantae; Streptophyta; Magnoliopsida; Malpighiales; Euphorbiaceae.